GAUGAACGCUAGCGGCAGGCCUAAUACAUGCAAGUCGAGGGAGAAUGUUGGAUUCGUCUGACAUGAAACCGGCGCACGGGUGCGUAACACGUAUGCAACCUACCUUUAACUGGGGUAUAGCUCAGAGAAAUCUGAAUUAAUCCCCCAUAAGACUACGACAUGGCAUCAUGAUGUAGUUAAAGCUCCGGCGGUUAAGGAUGGGCAUGCGGUACAUUAGCUAGUUGGUGAGGUAAUGGCUCACCAAGGCUACGAUGUAUAGGGGGUCUGAGAGGAUGAUCCCCCACACUGGUACUGAGACACGGACCAGACUCCUACGGGAGGCAGCAGUAGGGAAUAUUGGUCAAUGGACGCAAGUCUGAACCAGCCAUGCCGCGUGAAGGAUGAAGGCCCUAUGGGUCGUAAACUUCUUUUAUUAGGGAAGAAAAAACGGGAUGCGUCCUGUACUGACGGUACUUAAUGAAUAAGGAUCGGCUAACUUCGUGCCAGCAGCCGCCGCAG
Molecule: ribosomal RNA, 498 nt
Filed under: uncultured bacterium
Lineage: Bacteria
Description: partial 16S ribosomal RNA
Rfam family: Bacterial small subunit ribosomal RNA
Source: RNAcentral